RNAcentral lists this unclassified non-coding RNA (204 nucleotides) under uncultured fungus. RNAcentral's name for it is "sequence contains ITS1, 5.8S rRNA gene". The record is from RNAcentral. RNAcentral also lists the same sequence under 1 other name. Lineage: Eukaryota; Fungi.
UUGAGUUGUUGACAUGGGUUGUUGCUGGUCCUCAAAUGGGGGCAUGUGCACGCUCUGUUCACACAUCCACUCACACCUGUGCACCCUCUGUAGUCCUAUGGUCUGGGGAUGCACCGUCUUCCCCCUGUAGUUCUAUGUUUUUUUUUACACACACACCGUUGUCUAGUCUUAUGGAAUGUGCGCAGCGUUUAACGCAAUACAAUA